RNAcentral lists this ribosomal RNA (407 nucleotides) under uncultured prokaryote. RNAcentral's name for it is "partial 16S ribosomal RNA". The record is from RNAcentral.
UGAACAGUGGAUUAAGUUCAUGAAGGAUGGUGUUAAUGCCACUCCUCUCCCGACUGUUAACACUACUGGUUAUAUUGACCAUGCCGCUUUUCUUGGCACGAUUAACCCUGAUACCAAUAAAAUCCCUAAGCAUUUGUUUCAGGGUUAUUUGAAUAUCUAUAACAACUAUUUUAAAGCGCCGUGGAUGCCUGACCGUACCGAGGCUAACCCUAAUGAGCUUAAUCAAGAUGAUGCUCGUUAUGGUUUCCGUUGCUGCCAUCUCAAAAACAUUUGGACUGCUCCGCUUCCUCCUGAGACUGAGCUUUCUCGCCAAAUGACGACUUCUACCACAUCUAUUGACAUUAUGGGUCUGCAAGCUGCUUAUGCUAAUUUGCAUACUGACCAAGAACGUGAUUACUUCAUGCAGC